This 413-nucleotide unclassified non-coding RNA is filed under the name soil metagenome. RNAcentral describes it as "partial contains 5.8S ribosomal RNA, internal transcribed spacer 2, and large subunit ribosomal RNA". The stretch from base 1 to 120 matches the Rfam family "5.8S ribosomal RNA", at positions 35 to 154 of the family's 154-position model. The record is from RNAcentral.
GAUGAAGAACGCAGCGAAAUGCGAUAAGUAAUGUGAAUUGCAGAAUUCAGUGAAUCAUCGAAUCUUUGAACGCACCUUGCGCUCUUUGGUAUUCCGAAGAGCGUGCCUGUUUGAGUGUCAUGAAAAUAUCAACCUUGACUUGGGUUUUGUGCUCUAGUCUCGGCUUGGAAUUGGGUGCUUGCCGCUUUUACGAGCGGCUCACCUUAAAUGUAUUAGCUGGAUCUGUCUUUGAGACUUGGUUUGACUUGGCGUAAUAAGUAUUUCGCUAAGGACAUUCUUCGGAGUGGCCUCGUUUCUAGGACGCUUGUCCGCUUUCCAAUACAAGUUCCACCUCGUGGACAUGACUUUUUAUUAUCUGGCCUCAAAUCAGGUAGGACUACCCGCUGAACUUAAGCAUAUCAAUAAGCGGAGGA